AUGACAUUGUCGACAUCGGAGCUGAACGGUGCCGGCGUGUCGCCUCUGUACCUGGCGGUGACGAGCGGGUCGGUGAAUGCCUUCGGAGCAAUAGUAUCGCAUGGUGACGCGUCGGCUGCCGGACCGAAUCUGCAGAAUGUUUUGCACGCCGCUGUUCUCGGAAGUUCAGGUUUGCUUAUCGUUUAUCAUCGCUUCACAUGCACAUCGUGUGUUGUGUUGUCUUGCACAAAACUAUGUGCAGCUGUGGUCGACAACCAGGUUUCGCUCAGUUUACUCUUUUAUGCGGCUCCGACCAUCAACAUAGACGUAGCAAAUCUCAGAGUCCUUUUACAGUACAUCUAA
Molecule: ribosomal RNA, 342 nt
Filed under: Triticum aestivum (bread wheat)
Lineage: Eukaryota; Viridiplantae; Streptophyta; Magnoliopsida; Poales; Poaceae
Description: partial small subunit ribosomal RNA
Source: RNAcentral